AGCGAACGCUGGCGGCAGGCUUAACACAUGCAAGUCGAGCGGGCACUUUCGGGUGUCCGCGGCGGACGGGUGAGUAACGCGUGGGAACGUGCCCUCUGGUUCGGAAUAACUCAGGGAAACUUGAGCUAAUACCGGAUACGCCCUUUUGGGGAAAGGCUUGCUGCCGGAGGAUCGGCCCGCGUCUGAUUAGCUAGUUGGUGAGGUAACGGCUCACCAAGGCGACGAUCAGUAGCUGGUCUGAGAGGAUGAUCAGCCACACUGGGACUGAGACACGGCCCAGACUCCUACGGGAGGCAGCAGUGGGGAAUAUUGGACAAUGGGCGCAAGCCUGAUCCAGCCAUGCCGCGUGAGUGAUGAAGGCCUUAGGGUUGUAAAGCCCUUUUAUCCGGGACGAUAAUGACGGUACCGGAGGAAUAAGCCCCGGCUAACUUCGUG
RNAcentral lists this ribosomal RNA (435 nucleotides) under uncultured bacterium. Its description in RNAcentral is "partial 16S ribosomal RNA". It matches the Rfam family "Bacterial small subunit ribosomal RNA", at positions 29 to 507 of the family's 1533-position model. The record is from RNAcentral.